This 525-nucleotide ribosomal RNA is filed under the name uncultured Geobacter sp. RNAcentral's name for it is "bacterial SSU rRNA". It matches the Rfam family "Bacterial small subunit ribosomal RNA", at positions 67 to 571 of the family's 1533-position model. Lineage: Bacteria; Pseudomonadati; Thermodesulfobacteriota; Desulfuromonadia; Geobacterales; Geobacteraceae. The record is from RNAcentral.
CGUGAUCCGCCCUUCGGGGUGGUGAAAGUGGCGCACGGGUGAGUAACGCGUGGAUAAUCUGCCCGAGGAUUUGGGAUAACAUCUCGAAAGGGGUGCUAAUACCGAAUAAGCCCACGGGGUCUACGGAUCUUGCGGGAAAAGGGGGGGACCUUCGGGCCUCCUGUCCUUGGAUGAGUCUGCGUACCAUUAGCUAGUUGGUGGGGUAAUGGCCUACCAAGGCGACGAUGGUUAGCUGGUCUGAGAGGAUGAUCAGCCACACUGGAACUGAGACACGGUCCAGACUCCUACGGGAGGCAGCAGUGGGGAAUUUUGCGCAAUGGGGGAAACCCUGACGCAGCAACGCCGCGUGGGUGAUGAAGGCCUUCGGGUCGUAAAGCUCUGUCUGGAGGGAAGAAAUGAUUGGGAGCUAAUACCUCUUGAUCUUGACGGUACCUCUGAAGGAAGCACCGGCUAACUCCGUGCCAGCAGCCGCGGUAAUACGGAGGGUGCAAGCGUUGUUCGGAAUUAUUGGGCGUAAAGCGCGUG